ACCAUUUUAAAAUAGUGGAAUAUAAUAAAUUUUAGAGGGGUAGAUAUGGAUAGAGGAAACAUAGUCCAGCUAUUAAAUUUAAACAAUUUUGACACAAAAAUUUAGUCCUUUAAUUUUAACUGACAUAUAAGAGUGCCAGCAGCCGCGGUUAAACUUUAAGUUAAACUAUUAUAACAAUCAUAAUCUAUAAUAUUGAAUUUGAAAAUAUGCUAUACUAGUAAAAUAGAUAGUUAUUUAUUCCUAAUAAUUUAUUAACUUCAAAAAUAAGAAAAUAGAAACUAGGAUUAGAUACCCUACUAUCCUUAAAUUAAAUCAGUAGAUAUGGGUAAUAACAUUAAAAAAAAAUGGAAACCCAAAUUUUAUGGCGGCAAUUAUAAUUUACAGGGGAACUUACCACAUAAUAGACAACCACCAAGAAAAUGUACCUUUUAAAAAAAGUUUGUAUACCGUCGUAUAAUCAAUCCUUAAAGGGUUAAUAUAACUUACAUAAAUUUAUCUUAUUACAGAUCAAGGUGCAAUAAAUUAAGAGGCGUAGGCGAGUUACAAUAAAUAUCAUUUCGGAAAUAUGCUUUAACAGAAAUGGAAGAUGGACUUGUAAGUAUAUUUUAUAAAUAUUAUAAAUGGAAUAAAUCAUAUAAUUGUGCACAAAUCGCCCGUC
Molecule: ribosomal RNA, 658 nt
Filed under: Arion ater ater
Lineage: Eukaryota; Metazoa; Mollusca; Gastropoda; Stylommatophora; Arionidae
Description: 12S ribosomal RNA
Source: RNAcentral